This 578-nucleotide long non-coding RNA is filed under the name Rattus norvegicus (Norway rat). RNAcentral's name for it is "long non-coding RNA NONRATT002941". The record is from RNAcentral. Lineage: Eukaryota; Metazoa; Chordata; Mammalia; Rodentia; Muridae.
ACUGUGUGUCUCUCUAUUGUAUACUCUGCACGGUCACAUGAUCCCUCCACUUCUCAACGGCUGUCGCAAAUGAAGACUGCAGUCAGGAAGCGGGGAUGAGCACCUGCCUCACGAUCUUGGCUCUCAGGGCCUGGCGUGUGGGUCUCAGCUCAGCCAUAUCCCUCUGAGGCACAGGGCAAACGAGGACCAAGUAGCAGACUGCAGAUGCUUCACCUGGCAUCUAGACACUGCCCCCCGCCCCCCACCUCCAGCAGAACUGGGCCAGCAGCUCUGUUCUUGCUUCCUCUCUCUUAAGCUAGGCCAGGCUGGCUCCUGGCUGUGAAGGAACCUCUGGUCCCUAGGAAACCCUGAAGACUAGACAGGUGGGGACAGGGUAGAGCAGGGACAGCAGUGGCUUUGUUCACCAUUUGCACCCAGGAGGCCUUGUAGUGUUACAGUUGCAGUCAUCAGCCCUAUGAUGUACACUACAUGGACCAGCAGGACCUGGCCUUCACUCCUCCAGGCUACUAUGCCCUGGGGUCAAGGGAGAGGAACUCUGUUAUCUUCUCAGAAUAAAUAUUACUGCCACUCUAGAGGGA